GCCUUCGUAGUGUAGUGGUCAGUUCGCUCGACGCGUAACCGAGAGGUCCGUGGUUCGAUUCCUGGCGAAGGCG
Molecule: transfer RNA, 73 nt
Filed under: Stegodyphus mimosarum
Lineage: Eukaryota; Metazoa; Arthropoda; Arachnida; Araneae; Eresidae
Rfam family: tRNA
About the family: Transfer RNA (tRNA) molecules are approximately 80 nucleotides in length. Their secondary structure includes four short double-helical elements and three loops (D, anti-codon, and T loops).
Source: Rfam by way of RNAcentral